GCAUUUCCGCCAAUCACUUCAACAGUGCCAAAAUGCCCUAUUCCUUGAGUCACUGGAACCGCUGACCCAACUUACAAGAACCUCCGUACUUCUUAUGAGCCGGGAUCGAUCAUAUUCGCAUUUCCACUAUGUUUCAGCCCCGAGCAGCCAUCGAAAGCAAAGAGAUCAGGUCGUUAUAUUCUACCAAAUAGAUGCCGAUGCUCCCGAACUGCUAUAGGAGUCUAAUUAUCAUUCCCUUCCCGCAUCACUAGAUCACUAGAAAGAUAAAGCGAUCGAGGAGCGAAGUUAUGAGCUGACAUGAGUGGCCAUUGAAAGCAAAGAGAUCAGGUCGUUAUAUUCUACCAAAUAGAUGCCGAUGCUCCCGAACUGCUAUAGGAGUCUAAUUAUCAUUCCCUUCCCGCAUCACUAGAUCACUAGAAAGAUAAAGCGAUCGAGGAGCGAAGUUAUGAGCUGACAUGAGUGGAAUCGAAGCAACUAGUCCUGUCCAAAGAGUCCCAACCCAGGGAAAGUCCUUUG
Molecule: long non-coding RNA, 516 nt
Filed under: Nicotiana benthamiana
Lineage: Eukaryota; Viridiplantae; Streptophyta; Magnoliopsida; Solanales; Solanaceae
Description: long non-coding RNA (NBEN_LNC010051)
Source: RNAcentral